GAUGAACGCUGGCGGCGUGCUUAACACAUGCAAGUCGAACGGUGAACACGGAGCUUGCUCUGUGGGAUCAGUGGCGAACGGGUGAGUAACACGUGAGCAACCUACCCCUGACUCUGGGAUAAGCGCUGGAAACGGCGUCUAAUACUGGAUAUGUGGCGUGACCGCAUGGUCUGCGUCUGGAAAGAAUUUCGGUUGGGGAUGGGCUCGCGGCCUAUCAGCUUGUUGGUGAGGUAAUGGCUCACCAAGGCGUCGACGGGUAGCCGGCCUGAGAGGGUGACCGGCCACACUGGGACUGAGACACGGCCCAGACUCCUACGGGAGGCAGCAGUGGGGAAUAUUGCACAAUGGGCGCAAGCCUGAUGCAGCAACGCCGCGUGAGGGAUGACGGCCUUCGGGUUGUAAACCUCUUUUAGCAGGGAAGAAGCGAAAGUGAC
Molecule: ribosomal RNA, 434 nt
Filed under: uncultured bacterium
Lineage: Bacteria
Description: bacterial SSU rRNA
Rfam family: Bacterial small subunit ribosomal RNA
Source: RNAcentral